CUCCUACUUUUCUAAGAAAACAAAAGAGAUACAGAUGGAAGUGAAUUAGGAAGAAAAAAAAUCUACUGUUGUGAUGCUUUAAUCUAUUUUAAUAUGUGAGCCUGAAAUUCCUCCUAAAACAAAGUCCCUGAACUUUUAUUAUUAAAAGUAAUAAAAAUUCAAGGACUUUGUUUUAGGAGGAAAUAGGUGCUAGCAGGUAUUUUCUAAGGGUUGAGAUGACACUGGCCUGAAGAAUGACAGCAGGACAGUCAGCUCUGGAGUGUUGCAUCAGUGAUUCUACACACGCCAGCCUAAGCCAGAGCUGCUGAAAUGUGUUCUCAUGACUGGGAAUCCAGCUGCUCUCUCUAGGAUGCAGAUAAAAUACAUACCUGAAAGACAGCAUCCUUUGACAGUGGCCCACAUUCCAGCUGUUUGUGGGGAACUGCUGCCUGUAGGAUGGACUCACAUUGGAGAAGUUCAUGGAGAACUGACUCCCAUGGGAGGAACCCCACAGUGCAGUAGGGGAAGGACUCCUCUUCCUGAGCAGUGGCAGAAACAGCGUGUGAUGAACUGACCAUAACUCCCCAUGCCCUGCCUCCCUGCAUCUCUGAGGGGGAGGAGGUAGAAGGGGGAAGGAGGAAGAGAUGAGAAGUGGAGUAAUUGAGCAGCUUUGGUGAGUGUCUGACAUCCAGCCAGGGUCAACCCACUCAAAUGUCAAUGACAUUUUGGAAACUCAGUCACAGGCACUCUACUACCAAACCUGUGUGUGUGACUUAUGGAAAUGGAUUUGAUUGGUGUGCAGGCUAACAAAAUAAGUCACUUGAUUACUCAUGAUCAUGAGUGAAGAUAUGGAAGAAUGAAGAUACAGAAGAGUGAAGAUGUCAAGUAAUGCCUAAUUAAAAUGACUGAUUCAUGAUCAAGGCACUAUUUUCACUCCCUGAACUGAGGAAUCCUUCCCUAAGCAUUAUUGAUUCUUGGUUCAGGCGUUGACUUCUGCCUACAACUCUGCUGCUCUAGUGUCUGGAAAGGCAAGUGCUGCCAUUGCAUACCAAGGAAACACCUUACAUCAGGUCAAAGGGUGUCACAUCAACAGGAUCACCUUUGUUGCUAUUACAGUGCCCACAGACAAUUUUACUGUCUCCAAUAACUCUAUGGAAAGAGCCUGGGUCUGCAUUUCAGCCUACACACAGUGAUGGUAUAAAACUAAUUAAUUAUCCUGCUAAGAUAAAAACAAAUGAGGAAGAAGAUUGAAAGCAUACACAGGCAUAAAUCAAACUUUGUCUUUUAGCAUAUUGAUGCGUAUAUUUUUGUGAGGGCUGAAGUCACAAA
This is a long non-coding RNA of Zonotrichia leucophrys gambelii, 1308 nucleotides long. RefSeq lists it as uncharacterized. Lineage: Eukaryota; Metazoa; Chordata; Aves; Passeriformes; Passerellidae. The record is from RefSeq and is a predicted model, not a curated record. The transcript is spliced from 3 exons.